UACAGAGGGUGCGAGCGUUGUUCGGAAUUACUGGGCGUAAAGGGCUUGUAGGUGGCCAACUAAGUCAGACGUGAAAUCCCUCGGCUUAACCGGGGAACUGCGUCUGAUACUGGAUGGCUUGAAUCCGGGAGAGGGAUGCAGAAUUCCAGGUGUAGCGGUGAAAUGCGUAGAUAUCUGGAGGAAUACCGGUGGCGAAGGCGGCAUCCUGGACCGGCAUUGACGCUGAUGAGCGAAAGCUAGGGGAGCAAACGGG
This 253-nucleotide ribosomal RNA is filed under the name uncultured bacterium. Its description in RNAcentral is "partial 16S ribosomal RNA". It matches the Rfam family "Bacterial small subunit ribosomal RNA", at positions 524 to 776 of the family's 1533-position model. The record is from RNAcentral.